UGGGGAAUAUUGGACAAUGGAGGAAACUCUGAUCCAGCAAUUCUGUGUGUGUGAAGAAGGUUUUAGGACUGUAAAACACUUUUAGUAGGGAAGAAAAAAAUGACGGUACCUACAGAAGAAGCAACGGCUAAAUACGUGCCAGCAGCCGCGGUAAUACGUAUGUUGCGAGCGUUAUCCGGAAUUAUUGGGCUUAAAGGGCAUCUAGGCGGUAAGACAAGUUGAAGGUGAAAACCUGUGGCUCAACCAUAGGCUUGCCUACAAAACUGUUGAACUAGAGUACUGGGAAGGUGGGUGUAACUACACGAGUAGAGGUGAAAUUCGUAGAUAUGUGUAGGAAUGCCGAUGAUGAAGAUAACUCACUGGACAGAAACUGACGCUGAAGUGCGAAAGCUAGGGGAGCAAACAGG
This 407-nucleotide ribosomal RNA is filed under the name Verrucomicrobiota bacterium. RNAcentral describes it as "Verrucomicrobia bacterium partial 16S ribosomal RNA". It matches the Rfam family "Bacterial small subunit ribosomal RNA", at positions 355 to 776 of the family's 1533-position model. The record is from RNAcentral. Lineage: Bacteria; Pseudomonadati; Verrucomicrobiota.